AACACAUGCAAGUCGAACGAGACCUUCGGGUCUAGUGGCGCACGGGUGCGUAACGCGUGGGAAUCUGCCCUUGGGUUCGGAAUAACACAGAGAAAUUUGUGCUAAUACCGGACGAUGUCUUCGGACCAAAGAUUUAUCGCCCAGGGAUGAGCCCGCGUAGGAUUAGGUAGUUGGUGGGGUAAUGGCCCACCAAGCCGACGAUCCUUAGCUGGUCUGAGAGGAUGAUCAGCCACACUGGGACUGAGACACGGCCCAGACUCCUACGGGAGGCAGCAGUGGGGAAUAUUGGACAAUGGGCGAAAGCCUGAUCCAGCAAUGCCGCGUGAGUGAUGAAGGCCUUAGGGUUGUAAAGCUCUUUUACCAGGGAUGAUAAUGACAGUACCUGGAGAAUAAG
Molecule: ribosomal RNA, 394 nt
Filed under: grassland soil clone saf3_121
Lineage: Bacteria
Description: bacterial SSU rRNA
Rfam family: Bacterial small subunit ribosomal RNA
Source: RNAcentral